This 527-nucleotide ribosomal RNA is filed under the name uncultured bacterium. Its description in RNAcentral is "bacterial SSU rRNA". It matches the Rfam family "Bacterial small subunit ribosomal RNA", at positions 777 to 1303 of the family's 1533-position model. The record is from RNAcentral.
AAUAGAUACCCAGGUAGUCCACGCCGUAAACGAUGAGUGCUAAGUGUUAGAGGGUUUCCGCCCUUUAGUGCUGCAGCAAACGCAUUAAGCACUCCGCCUGGGGAGUACGGUCGCAAGACUGAAACUCAAAGGAAUUGACGGGGGCCCGCACAAGCGGUGGAGCAUGUGGUUUAAUUCGAAGCAACGCGAAGAACCUUACCAGGUCUUGACAUCCUCUGACAACCCUAGAGAUAGGGCUUCCCCCUUCGGGGGCAGAGUGACAGGUGGUGCAUGGUUGUCGUCAGCUCGUGUCGUGAGAUGUUGGGUUAAGUCCCGCAACGAGCGCAACCCUUGAUCUUAGUUGCCAGCAUUCAGUUGGGCACUCUAAGGUGACUGCCGGUGACAAACCGGAGGAAGGUGGGGAUGACGUCAAAUCAUCAUGCCCCUUAUGACCUGGGCUACACACGUGCUACAAUGGGCAGAACAAAGGGCAGCGAAGCCGCGAGGCUAAGCCAAUCCCACAAAUCUGUUCUCAGUUCGGAUCGCGU